UUACGACCAGAUCACGUUGAAAUACCAGUUCCUGUACGAUGACCAAAAUUAAGCAACGUCGAGCCUGGUCAGUUCCUAGAUGGGUAAUCGCUUGGGAAUAUCACGUGCUGUAAG
Molecule: non-coding RNA, 114 nt
Organism: Acanthosepion pharaonis
Lineage: Eukaryota; Metazoa; Mollusca; Cephalopoda; Sepiida; Sepiidae
Source: the annotation of a GenBank genome assembly